This 294-nucleotide ribosomal RNA is filed under the name Coleodactylus meridionalis. Its description in RNAcentral is "partial 16S ribosomal RNA". It matches the Rfam family "Bacterial large subunit ribosomal RNA", at positions 2099 to 2635 of the family's 2925-position model. The record is from RNAcentral. Lineage: Eukaryota; Metazoa; Chordata; Lepidosauria; Squamata; Sphaerodactylidae.
CUUUAAAAACACCACUUUUUAAGUUGGGGCGACUACGGAAACAAAAAAAACUUCCACGACCAGGGCUAACCCCCCCAAAAAAGGACUCACACACCAACCCAGCUGAUCAACGAACCAAGUUACCCCAGGGAUAACAGCGCCAUCCUCUUCUAGAGCCCCUAUCGCCAAGAGGGUUUACGACCUCGAUGUUGGAUCAGGACCCCCUAGUGGCGCAGCCGCUACUAAAGGUUCGUUUGUUCAACGAUUAAAGUCCUACGUGAUCUGAGUUCAGACCGGAGUAAUCCAGGUCGGUUU